RNAcentral lists this unclassified non-coding RNA (236 nucleotides) under Hevea brasiliensis (rubber tree). The record is from RNAcentral. Lineage: Eukaryota; Viridiplantae; Streptophyta; Magnoliopsida; Malpighiales; Euphorbiaceae.
UAGAGAAGAAAUCAACAACUUUUUCAGGCAAGCAGACAGGGAAUUGAUGCUGGAAAUGUUUCAAGAGGUGCUGACAGUUUGGAAACCUGUGUAAUUUACCUUGUGAAGUCAGCUUUGUGGAAAUGCUUACUAUUGGUUGUGUAUAAUGUAAUUUUUUUUCUCUGUUCCUGGUCAGGUAUUCCCAGGCUUUACAUUAUGUCACUAAGCAGUGGUAUUCAGGGUGUGAAGGAUCAUUU